This 34-nucleotide non-coding RNA is filed under the name uncultured Owenweeksia sp. RNAcentral describes it as "DUF805b RNA". It matches the Rfam family "DUF805b RNA". From Rfam's summary of the family: Bacteroidetes, Chlorobi (1 example), Proteobacteria. The record is from RNAcentral. Lineage: Bacteria; Pseudomonadati; Bacteroidota; Flavobacteriia; Flavobacteriales; Owenweeksiaceae.
AAGCGGAAGCCGAAAAGCUUAAACAGAGUAGGCA